GGAUUGUUCACCCACCAAUAGGGAACGUGAGCUGGGUUUAGACCGUCGUGAGACAGGUUAGUUUUACACUACUGAUGACAGUGUCGCAAUAAUAAUUCAAACUAGUACGAGAGGAACCGCUGAUUCGCACAAUUGGUCAUCGCGCUUGGUUAAAAAGCCAGUGGCGCGAAGCUACCGUGCGCUAGAUUUUGACUGUACGCCUCUAAGUCAGAAUUCGGGCUAAAGCGAUGCAUGUACCCGUCGCCGCUUGCUGACUUGCAGUAGGGGCCGUCUGGCCUCCAACGGCACUUGUCGUUGGUGAAGCCCGUGCGGCGGAUAAGCUGCGUGGGCCGCCUUGAAGUACAAUUCCUAUCUCGAGCAGUGGGUAGAAUCCUUUGCAGACGACUUAAAUACACGACGGGGUAUUGUAAGUGGCAAAGUGGCCUUGCUGCCACGAUCCACUGAGAUUCAGCCCUGCGUCGCUCCGAUUCGUCCCUCCC
Molecule: ribosomal RNA, 479 nt
Filed under: Camellia sinensis
Lineage: Eukaryota; Viridiplantae; Streptophyta; Magnoliopsida; Ericales; Theaceae
Description: eukaryotic LSU rRNA
Rfam family: Eukaryotic large subunit ribosomal RNA
Source: RNAcentral